RNAcentral lists this ribosomal RNA (217 nucleotides) under Entedon zanara. RNAcentral describes it as "partial 28S ribosomal RNA". It matches the Rfam family "Eukaryotic large subunit ribosomal RNA", at positions 967 to 1163 of the family's 3401-position model. The record is from RNAcentral. Lineage: Eukaryota; Metazoa; Arthropoda; Insecta; Hymenoptera; Eulophidae.
UUUCCCUCAGGAUAGCUGGCACUCGCUUGAGCGAGUCUCAUCUGGUAAAGCGAAUGAUUAGAGGCCUUGGGGCCGAAACGACCUCAACCUAUUCUCAAACUUUAAAUGGGUGAGAUCUCUGGCUUGCUUGAACGUUGAAGCCACGAGAUGCAAUUUAUUGCAAUGGAUCAGAGUGCCAAGUGGGCCAAUUUUGGUAAGCAGAACUGGCGCUGUGGGA